GGAGCCGUGCCUGAAUGCUAAAGGGCCACUUUGAUAGAGUGAAAAAUGGAGGCUAAAAUCCCCCCGACUCCUUA
Molecule: transfer RNA, 74 nt
Filed under: Ameiurus nebulosus (brown bullhead)
Lineage: Eukaryota; Metazoa; Chordata; Actinopteri; Siluriformes; Ictaluridae
Also listed under: 1 other name
Description: tRNA-Ile
Rfam family: tRNA
About the family: Transfer RNA (tRNA) molecules are approximately 80 nucleotides in length. Their secondary structure includes four short double-helical elements and three loops (D, anti-codon, and T loops). Further hydrogen bonds mediate the characteristic L-shaped molecular structure. tRNAs have two regions of fundamental functional importance: the anti-codon, which is responsible for specific mRNA codon recognition, and the 3' end, to which the tRNAs corresponding amino acid is attached (by aminoacyl-tRNA synthetases). tRNAs cope with the degeneracy of the genetic code in two manners: having more than one tRNA (with a specific anti-codon) for a particular amino acid; and 'wobble' base-pairing, i.e. permitting non-standard base-pairing at the 3rd anti-codon position.
Source: RNAcentral